ACAGAGUUCUGCUAGUGGCAGACGGGUGAGUAGUACAUGGGAAUCUACCUUGCAGUGCGAAAUAACAGUUGGAAGCAAUUGCUAAUGUCGCAUAUAGCCGAGAGGUGAAAGAUUUAUCGCUGCAAGACGAGCCCAUGCAGGAUUAGCUAGUUGGUGAGGUAAUGGCUCACCAAGGCAACGAUCUUUAGUUGGUCUGAGAGGAUGAUCAGCCACACUGGAACUGAGACACGGUCCAGACUCCUACGGGAGGCAGCAGUGGGGAAUAUUGGACAAUGGGCGCAAGCCUGAUCCAGCGACGCCGCGUGAGUGAAGAAGGCCUUCGGGUUGUAAAGCUCUUUUAGUGGGGAAGAUAAUGACGGUACCCACAGAAAAAGCCCCGGCUACCUUCGUGC
Molecule: ribosomal RNA, 392 nt
Filed under: Candidatus Midichloria mitochondrii
Lineage: Bacteria; Pseudomonadati; Pseudomonadota; Alphaproteobacteria; Rickettsiales; Candidatus Midichloriaceae
Description: bacterial SSU rRNA
Rfam family: Bacterial small subunit ribosomal RNA
Source: RNAcentral